This is a long non-coding RNA of Columba livia (rock pigeon), 2616 nucleotides long. RefSeq lists it as uncharacterized. The record is from RefSeq and is a predicted model, not a curated record. NCBI's taxonomy places the organism in Eukaryota, Metazoa, Chordata, Aves, Columbiformes, Columbidae. The transcript is spliced from 2 exons.
CCAUGGUGGUCCUGGGGCCGCUUCUCCCACAACCUUGGGCUGCCCGAGAUAUUUCGGAUGGCACGGAGAGUCCCAGCCCCGGUUACAUUUUUCCCCAGUAUCUCUCCGCGGUAUCUCAGCUCUCCGGGUGAUCCCUGUCACGACUGACAUCCUCUGCCAGAGCAGCCCCUGCUGUUCCCGCACCGCCGGUAACGCCGCGGCCACGCUGGGCAGACACCGCGACAGAGGCGGAGCCGGUCCCGGGGUGCGGGGGUUCGGGGCACCGAAGGGGCUGCUGUCAGCCUGAUGUUGCACGGGACGGAAAACCGCGCACCCGCGACAGAGACCCCGUGUCGGUGACCCCUGCCCUGUCUCCGUGGCUGUGUCCCCUGCUCUGUUCCCGUGUCCAGCUCACACGGGGACACGAAGCGUGAGCAGAGGCUCCGUGAGGACAGAGCUGCCGGGCAGGGCCCCGCCGCGGCAGAAGCAGCGACCGAGCAGCCCGGCCCCGGGAGCACCCAGGAAUGUGGCACGGCCCAGGGCGGGCACCCAGCGGGAGCGGCACAGGGACGGCGCAGUGUCACCUGCCCAGAGCAGGGUGCGCGGCAGGAGGGGCACUGGGCCGGCCGAGGGACAGAAUGAGUCCCCCUGGCUGUGGCACAACCCAGCUGGCCCUGCUUGGAGCCCGCUGGCCUGCGGGGACUGAUGUUCCCUGGGGAUGACACAAGUCCCCUGCCCUGUGGAAAGCAGGGACACCCUGUCAUAGUUGAGCCAGCGCUCCCCAUUCUCCCCUUCUCAUGGUUCCGUGUGCUCCCAGGAUGGGUCAAUCUUCCUGCAUGUCACCUCCAUCCUGUACACAGGGACAUACUGACAGGAGACAGUCCUCACACAGCCGGCUGCUGGCACACGCAUAGUGCUGCCCAGCCAGCACGGCCUGUGGAUGGACACACAGCAUGAGCUAUGCUCACACCCCCGCACACACGCACAUGGGGAGCGUGGGCUGCACACGCACACACGUGUGCACGUCUGGCUGGCACGUGCGCACACACACGCACGGGCAGGUGUGGGCAGCCCGUCCAGCCCAGCUGUCCUGCCACUCCCCGCACCUGGGCUUCCGGAAGGGAACCAGCUGGGAAAGCCCCGACAGCUCCGGAGCCUCCAGCCUUGCAACACCCACACGGGCAGAGCCGCCCACAGCUCCAUGGGGCACUGGCACGGUGCAACCCAGGACAGGGAACAGCUCCCAGGACAUUCCCCACCACCAGCGCAGCCUGCAGAAUGCUUGCAGGCACCCCCCACCCAGGACAGUGCUGGGGGUGGCUUCGGGCCCCCUGGGAGAGCCAGGGUCUGAGCGAUUGCCAUGGGGCUCUGGGCAUGGGCAGAGCAGGGGUGGAAGCACAGCCAGACCCUGGGAAUGGCUGUGUCCCUCCAGGCAAUGGUGCUGGUGCAGAUCUGCGCCUGGAGCUCCUGGCAGUGAGUGGCUGCAGGAGCCAGGGUGGCUGGUCCUGCCAGCCCCAUGGAAGGAAAUGGGAGGUGAGAGGCAGCUCUGGCACAACGUGACAGGGACCAGGCAUCUGCCCCAGCUCUGGUGAGGACAUAGGACUCAAUGCAAUGGCUCCACAGCUCUGGCCCGUGGGCAGAGCCCUUUUCCCCACGCGGCCUCCAGGUCUUUGUCCCCUGCACCAGGGCCCUGUGUCCCUCAGCCAGCCCUGCACCCCAGUGACACCCCAAGGUGUGGGGUCAGGUGGACACCAGCUGGCCGAGAGGUAUGGGGCUGAGAGCUUGGUGGCAACAAGGGGCUGUGGACCGUGUCAGGUCACAGGACGUCCCUCAGGAGCCAGCAGUUGUUCCUGGAGGCAGAACAAUGCCCGGAGAGCUGCCAGGGCACCACGGGCUGCUCCACUGAACCCGGCCUGGAGCCACCUCCGCUGCCUAAGCAGGGCCAGCCCCACGCUGGGGUCCCCCAGCCCCUUGCUGACACCUGGCCUGUACCUGUCCCCCACAGCAGGAAGCUGCACUGGCUGCUCUUGGCUUGUGGCACAGCAUGGCACAGAGUGACACAGCAUGGCACAGCUCUUCUGGGGCUGCAUGAAGCCCAGCGCCAAGCAGCAUCACCUUCAUGUCUUCCUGCCAGCUUGUCCAGUGGCAGCAGCCCAUGCCAGGGAGGGGGUGGGAGGGUUCACGCUCGGACGGAGCGUGCUGGGCAUUGGGGCACAGAGAGGGUCAGUGGGAGGAUUUAAACCCCUGCUCAUGCGCGGGCCAGCCCUGGGAGGAUUUAAACCCCUGCUCAUGCGCGGGCCAGCAGCCCCCGCACUGCCUGCCCUGCGCCAUGAGGCUGCUGGCACUGCUGCUGCUCCUGGGGCUCUGCUGCCUCUGGGCACGGCUGGUGUCUGCAGGAUUCACUUAGCCUCCGCCUGGACCUGGACCAAGGAGCCCAUAUGUGCAGCCACCCCGCACCACCCUGCACCACACAGUUGGACAGCCAGACAGUCAGACAGCUGGACAUGGAGGGAACCGUCAGCUGCUGGAUGAGGAUCCAUCCCCCUGAUCCCACCUCCCUCCUCUCGACCUCAGCUCAGUGCUGAGCACAGGUGUCUUUGUGCUCCCUCAUCCCCAGUAAAACGAGUUUGUGAUGAA